This 497-nucleotide ribosomal RNA is filed under the name uncultured bacterium. RNAcentral's name for it is "partial 16S ribosomal RNA". It matches the Rfam family "Bacterial small subunit ribosomal RNA", at positions 28 to 507 of the family's 1533-position model. The record is from RNAcentral.
GAUGAACGCUGGCGGCGUGCCUAAUACAUGCAAGUCGAGCGAACAGACGAGGAGCUUGCUCCUCUGACGUUAGCGGCGGACGGGUGAGUAACACGUGGAUAACCUGCCUAUAAGACUGGGAUAACUUCGGGAAACCGGAGCUAAUACCGGAUAAUAUAUUGAACCGUAUGGUUCAAUAGUGAAAGACGGUUUUGCUGUCACUUAUAGAUGGAUCCGCGCCGCAUUAGCUAGUUGGUAAGGUAACGGCUUACCAAGGCAACGAUGCGUAGCCGACCUGAGAGGGUGAUCGGCCACACUGGAACUGAGACACGGUCCAGACUCCUACGGGAGGCAGCAGUAGGGAAUCUUCCGCAAUGGGCGAAAGCCUGACGGAGCAACGCCGCGUGAGUGAUGAAGGUCUUCGGAUCGUAAAACUCUGUUAUUAGGGAAGAACAAAUGUGUAAGUAACUAUGCACGUCUUGACGGUACCUAAUCAGAAAGCCACGGCUAACUACGUG